RNAcentral lists this ribosomal RNA (1062 nucleotides) under Triticum aestivum (bread wheat). RNAcentral describes it as "partial small subunit ribosomal RNA". Lineage: Eukaryota; Viridiplantae; Streptophyta; Magnoliopsida; Poales; Poaceae. The record is from RNAcentral.
CUUUUUUUGGAGUGGCCAGGGUAGGUCGGGGAAGCUGGCCGGGUGAGGGGUGGGGUGCUUGAAGGGUUGGUGGCGGUGGAGAGCGAGAGCGUGGUGCAGACCCGAGACGGGGUAGGAAGGCGGCGGCGGCUGCUGGACCGAGGCCGCGUGGAGGAGGGCGGCGGCGGGACCGAGGUCUCGUGGAGGAAGGAGGCGGGGAGCCGGGUUCGUGCGGUGGGCAGAGGCGGGUAGGGUGAGGAGCCGGACUGCCCGCAGGGUGGCGACGGGGCAGGGGCUGCGUGGUGGAUGGUGGCCGGGCGAGCGGGGUUACGGGGUGGACGACGACCGGUGGACUCGGCGGCGGGAGUAAGCGCACGACACGGCACCACUGCGCGCGGGCAGGGAGGGAAACGGGACGACGGUUUAGGUGUUGCGCGUGGGGGCGCUGGGAGAGGGUCUAAGUGGCCAUGUCCACUACCAGCGCGGCGGAUACCCCUCGGGUAUCACAAACUACGUAGAGAGCCAGUGGCGCAGGGCGAGGAGAAGGUGGAGGACGUCGCCGACGCUCUAGGAGAGCAAGAAGAAGAAACAUACACGGAGCGGCCACUGUAGGCGACCACCACCACAUCGCCGGUGGCGACGACGACCACCACCACCAAUCCUCCUCCUUCUUCUACGUCUAGUAAUGUCUACCCCGUCCCGCAGCUGUCCUCUUCGUCCCGCGCUACCACCGGUACUCGGUACCGUAGGUUGAAGGAGAACAAGUGACAUCACGGCGGCGUAAGAGACCGUACCGGGGCCGCGAGGUGCGGAGACGGGCUAGAGGGCCGAGCGUUGCCGCGCUAAGAAGUGUAUGAUGGCCUAAAGUAGCCUCCUCCAGGGGGACGACGUGGAGGCGGAGGACCCAGGGCGACCGCCUUGAGCGGACAAUGAGGAGUACCGACGUGAUGAGAGAGAAUGAGAGGGAGAGAGAGAAAGACUAACUCCGCUAAAUUAGCCUUGUUUAAGUACAUGUACGAACUAACGUUCAUAAAAAAUAAUCUACGCUUGUUCUUGGGUACCGAACGAUAAAGAAUAAACAGU